Non-coding RNA from Caenorhabditis tropicalis, 93 nucleotides. The record is from Rfam. NCBI's taxonomy places the organism in Eukaryota, Metazoa, Nematoda, Chromadorea, Rhabditida, Rhabditidae.
CGGUCCAACAGACGAUUGAGCUUCCACGUCAAGCCACAGCUAUCCAAAAAACUUGCUGGCAAGAUGUAGGCAGCUCAGUUGUAUGCGGAGACC